CUGGUGUUGUUUUACUUACCGUCAUCAUGUCAUCACAUUUCAUAUCUGGUUCAUCUUCAUCUUCACUUUUAUUGUAGAAUUUGCGGAAGAAGUUGAACGCCACAACAGUGUAAAGAUACACUACUACAGCCAGGAGUCCUACAGUCAGCACAAGCUGUAUAUGGAGACAUGACAAGAAUGGGAUGAGUGGGCUUUAUAUCCUAAAGAUGACAGCGACUGUAAAAUGGACCGAGAUGGCUGAUUGACAGCACAAGCUGACAGUCCUGCUGUUCUGCAGUGGUAAUGCUAACACAGUAUUACUUUGAACUCCAAAAUGAGCAAGUCAACAAUAAGAAGAGGGACAAGGAACUAAGAAAGAUGGAUUGCCUUGUGUCAAAAUAAACAAUGGAAACAUGAACAGACUUAAGCAGAAUUAUUAUACACUUCUGUAAAACAGCAAGAAGUCUGAGCAAGUCAGAGGGAAGCAGAGACAUUGAAUACAGGGGAGGAAAUGACUCCGCGUUGUUUCAGUGAGUGUAUGGGACUGAAACCAAGGAGUGGGGUGAAGCUCAGCAAGGCCAUGCACAGUGAAAUGAACACCGUUUGUAGUCCUCUUGUCCAAUGGAUGUUGUGAAUUAACUGGACAAGGUGACUAACUGUCACAUUCCCUCCCUCUUCCAAUCCGUCCCAGCUUUUCUCUUGCCCUCUCUAUUUGUAGCAUAGGAACCAUGCUUUUAAUGGUGCUUCAAAUGUAACAGAUUGUUAGGUUUUGACAACAAGGCGGCAGGGACUAAAUUGCCACAGUCACUAACAGAAAGGCGUAAAUGAGUUGAAAGUGAACUUGUGUAAGAAAAGAUACGUGCACAGCGAUGACUGGCAGAUAAAAGGAGUGAUAUGAAGAUGUUCAUUGGAAGAUUUUGUGUUGUACCUUUAUGUGGCCAUAACCCAUGCAGUCAACAAGAGCCAGUAUAUUAGUUUAUUCACAGCUUUCAGUGUUCGCUUGACUGUAAUUUAUAAUCAGAUACAAAGAAGCAUUACUUGGCUCUUGCAAAUACCUGUGAAAGUUUCAUCUGCAUAUUGGCAAAUACAUGAAGAAAUCCAACAACUGCAUCCCACAGCCUACUAUGAGCCAGGCUCUGUUGGUUACCAAUGCAAGGUCCCUGAAAAAAUUAAAAUAAGAAAAACACAUUUUUUACUUAUACAAAAUCAAAAUAACACUUCACCUUCCUAAGGCUUCUACCUGAAAAAAUAAAAACAAAAAACAAACAAAACAAACAAACAAUCAAAAAAAAAAAAAAGAAAAAAAAAGAAAAACAACCCCAAACAACAGAACAGCAAACAUAUUCCAGGCUUCCAUGAAACUAUACAAAAAACUUUCUUAUCAUUUCUUUGGUAUGUAGCAUGUAAAAAGAGAGAUUUUAUCAUGUCAAAUAUGAAGCCAUUAUUUUAGUAUUAACUUUACAGUGGGCCAGUGAUUCAAUGAAACUGUUAAAAAUAAGAAAAAUAAAACCAAAUAUUUACAAACUUAGAACAGAACAUGAUCAGAUCAUAUAAUCAGUGAUUAGUAUCACUGUAUGUAUGAUACACAAUCAAGUAUUAGUAUUAUCAUAGUUAGUAUCUUGGACAAAAUCUUUCAUUUACCUGUAUAUAUUCAGUAAGGGAAUUGAAUAUUUGUUUGGUGACAGCCAAAGCUUUAGAGAAGUUACGUUGUCCUGAUUCAUCAAUAACAUCUUUUCCUGAAUAGUACCAAUAGAAGUCACUGAUUGAUUCCUAAGAAAAAGCACAAUGUUACAUUUUCUAAUGUAGGAUUUUGAAAGCAGUAUUUACUGCCUGCAUGCGUAUCACCAGAAGUUGAAUCAGUUGACGUCCAGUUAAUCUAUUUCUCAUGACAAUAGCUUUUUAUGUUUUCCUAUAACCAUGCUGUCUACAGAAGUAAUCAAUGAAAUUAACCAACAUUCAGUUCCAUGAAGAAUUCUGAAAAGUCAUCUAUCCUAAAAAGAAAGACAAAAUGAAUUACAUCCUAAUUCUUUUUAAUUUUUAUUAUUAUUAUUUUUUAAUAUCCUUGGCAGAAGAGAGGAACCUCAUCUUUGGUUUCAUCAAAAUGUGAACUUAUGAAAAUGAAGGAAAGAAAAUUAUGUUACAUCCCAUUUUCUUCUGAUUUUUUCCUCACCUGAAGACGCAAGAGGUAGUCGACCGUACUAAUGAUAAUAUUCACCGUUGUGGUGUUGCCCAUCUGAGUACGUAGGUAAUUUUGAAAAUCUGAAAUAAAUAAGGGAUUUGAGCUUAGUUAGUAUGGACAAGAAAGAAAAAUACAAGAUUGCUUUUGUAUAUUCCUGGGGAAGAAACUCUUCUUCAGUACCUUGCUAGGUAUAGAUGUUCAUUAUCUGUGCUGGAUAUUGAACUACAAUAUGUCACAAUGCAAACAUAACUGAAGAGCUGUUAACCAUAUGUCUUUGCAAGAAAUUUUGGUAUUAAUGAUCUGCAUAAAAUCUGAAAUUACAUUAAGACUUAAAAAUUCAAAUUAACAUCCACAGUUAACAUUUUUGGUGUGUCACUUUCCCUCAGAAUACUAAAUCAGAGAAAAAAAAAAUCUUAGAAUGAGUUAUAGUGAGCUAUGUUUAAGAAUAGGUUUAUCAUUUGCACUCAUCAUUUUUCCCUGAAAUUAACACAUUUUGCUUACCAUUGUUAUGCCCUUCACAGAGUAGUUGUAAAAAUCUAAAUAGAUCUCGAGUAAAUUCAUCAUGCUGCAACACUUUUUCACCUUUAAAAUAUAUAGAUACAAUGAUUACAUGACAGCUUCUAUUAUUAAAUAUGCAGAGCACAAUCUUAUAGCAUCCUUCAGAACUGAAGAUUCUCUCUAAAAAUACAGUACUAUAAAUGCUGCUUUAAGGCAAUUUAAAGAAAAAGGCUGAUAAUAAUGAAAAGAAAAAUGGGGUCCAAAAGCCAAGCCAAAGCAUUUAGCACUCCAAUACAUCCGUGGUUAAAAAAAAAAAAACAACAAUAAAAAAGAACAGCAAAAAAAGACAAACAAACUACACAUUAUAUAUCUAAUAAGCAAAUGGUUAGUUAUGAAUAAAAUUGUGUCUUAAAUAUGAAUGACAUUUCAUUAAUAAGCAUCAAACUUUUUCCAAGCUGGACACACAACUUGCUGCAGACCAUAACACUAAACCUAAAGAUAUCUGAGAAGAUGCAGUUAGAGAUUUCUUUCUGUAUUUGCAACAGACUUUCAGAACAAUAGUAUUGAAAACUGUACCCAAACAUACCACGCUCACGUACGAUGACUGUGGAUUGAAGAAAAAUAAUAAAAAUACAAGAUGAGAAUAUUGGAAGUGACAUUUUUUUCAUCAAAAUUAUUGCUAAAUACUUCAUAAAUGUAAAAAAUAUUCAGUUUAACAACCUACAGUUAUUUAUAUUCAGUUUAACAACAGAAACCUCAAGCCAAGUUUAACAAGUUCUAUUUAAAGAAGGAAGCUCAAAUGUUUUAAGUGUUAUUGGAAUCAGUUUCAUUCUACUUACGAGUUCCUUCUUCAGUAACCAUUCCCAGGCCUUCUGCUUUAUUUUGUCUCUCAAAUGCAUUCAAGUCAAGAACACUUAUGUAAAAAAAAUAAACAAUAAUAAUAAUAAAAGUACUGCAGUAAACAGUGGAAAAUUAUCUUCUAGGAAAUUUCUGGAAGCCUUCAAUAACUGCUCUUCAAUAACUAACUUGACCUGCUGUGACAUACACUGCCUCACAUUUUACUUAAUAUAAGUAUUAAAUAAAAGUGCUUGGGAUGAAAAUAAGGCUCCAGUGUCCAUUUCUGUGAAGUACUCAUCUAACUUCUCUUCCAGUAACAUUUUUCGUGGUUUCAUGUAUAAAUAAGAAGAAACCUGAAAUUACUCUCUAUAUUGACUUAAACCUGUCUGCCAAGAGAAGACAAUUACAUUCAAUUACAUUGUUUUCCACUGAAUUUCACUAGUACUACACUGUUGCUCUAUAUCUCAUGCAUUAUUAUAUUAUUUUAAAGACAUAAGUAGAAUCUUUGGAGCUAUUACAUUUUGCUUUUCUGUCUCUCCAAACUAACGCUUCAAAUGCUGUGCUUUAUUUUCUCAGUUGGAAAAGUAUUUCAAGAUGUUAACACAGCAUUCCUCUGAUUCACAAAUAUUUUCACUAAAGAAGCAGAGUUCUAGAGUCUGGACUUGUGUAAUUUAAAUCUAAAAAAAACACCUGCACUGAGCCAUCAGUCUCAAUAAAAGUGAAACUACAAUAAUAUGAUUUACGCUUUUACCUGCAGGACUGCAUCAAACCAGAAAGACUUUGAAAGAAUCCAGCAUCCUUUUUCUCCUUCAAGUAGUCUAGCAUUUUCUAGAGUACACACAUUUGGGGAAAAAAAGUCUAUAUUAAAGUUAUGUAAAUUAAAAAUGCCCUAAAUUACCAUUCAAAACACAGAUCACUAGUAAGGAAUGAUAUCACUGUUAUUGGACCAGAAAUACUCUAAUAUAUUUUCAUUGUUUAGCCUAAAAUUAAAUUAACAACAAUAAAAAUAGAACUAAAAUUCUCCAAUUAGUUGUUUCCUUUAUACGAGGAAGACUCAAUAGUUAGAAAAGCAUUACCUGUUGAACUAUUGUAUUCCCACCAUUUAGAAUAGCAAUACCAAGUUUUAGUGUUUCAACAACCAUGGGUCCUGUAUGACCUGUCAAAACAAGGGUGCUGUCAAUAAAAUUUGCAAUUAUAAACUUAUCAAUCAGAAAAGCAGUUCAGAGAUUUUACCUAACAUAGUUGCAAUUCACAUUUAUUUUGCUGCAUAAUGUGUCAUGUACAAAUCAGAGAUGACAUAAAUAUCAUAUAGAUAAAAAGUUGUAUAUGAUAUAUAUAAGGUAUUACGCAUAUGUGUGAAUAUAUAUGUAUUCAUAUAUAUAUAUAUAUGAAUAUACAUACGAAUAUAUAUAGAAUAUAUAUAUAUGUGAAUAUCUAUCUAUCUAUCUAUAUAUAUAUAGCAUUAUACAAGAUAAGUUUACAAUGUGUAUUUCAGUUCUCCUCUCAACAUUACCUUUGCUUGCACUGAUCAUCUGAAGGACCAUCUCAGCAGCUCCACGGUCAUGUAAGCGAGCUUGCUGAUAAAGAGUUCUCUGCUUUUCCAUUUCUUUCUCCUAAGUUUGGGGAAAAAAAAAAAAAAAAAGAUAACUGAUGCAAACAGCAUAUACAGGUGAAAAACCUGAAGAUGAUGAAGGCUCUCUGCCUUCACAUUGCCUUUCUUCUACAUGAACAACCUAGUAAAGCUACUCAGUAUACACUGUUAUCCUUUCAUUUAUUCCAGUGCUUAUAUUUAAAAUGCUGUCUUCCACUUCAGACAAUCAGAAAGAAAUAAGAUUUAAACUCUCACCUCAAAUGUCUUCUCUUUGUCUUCCUCCUCCUCCUCUUCUUCUUCCUGACAGCUCUUUUAAUAUUAGAAACAAAAAUCACAAAAUUUUGCUUAGUAUGAAACAGGAUGCCUAUUUCUACAACAGUAUUUGUAUUAUAAAAAGAAAAACAUUACAAGAUUUUUUUUUGAAGCAAUAACUAAAUCCAGUUAGAAGAUUUUAGAUCCCUGUAAUCCUUACAUUUUUGUGUCCAUACAUACUAAGAAGCUGAUAUUCCCUUAUACAUGAAUCCUUCCAACUAUAUAUUUAACUUGUAACUGUAGGUUGUCUGUUCUCAUGUCAUCUCUCUAUUUAAAUCCAUAUUAUUUAUCUUCUUAGUCAAACUCUCCUGACAUUAAAGUAUCAGCUGUAAUCAGUAUUUUGCAAACACUGACUGUCAACUUCCUUUUGACAGAAUGCAAAUUCCAAAAUAAUUUCUGUAAGGAUCAUGGAUCAACUAAUACCGUUCAUCUUGUUCUCAAGUUAGUCCUGUGCCAAGUGAUAUAAGCAGGAUUGCACAUACUGGAAUUUUAUAAUAUGAUAUUAAAGUAGGAAAUUCUGUAUUACAUAUAUAACUCGUAACAUCUUUUUUUUUUUUUUUUUUUCUCAUUAAAAAUGUAGAAAUUACUACUAUACAACAGUCCACAUAAGAGACAAGGAAAAUGUUUAAAAAGCUUUAGGAACUACUUGAGUGAAGCGAUGGAUGGAGCUUGAAAUUAUAGUUACCUUUGCCAUCAUGGCAGCAUAGGCGAUAUAUAAGGGAUCAUCUUCCAGUUUGCUAUAAAGAAAAAAUAUUUAAAAAUAAGUAAUGACUUUGUAAUAAAAAGAUAAUACUCCUGAUAAUAUGUAAAUACUAUUUUGAUCAAUGGAAACGUACAUAUAUCUAUGUGAAAUCCCAUUAUUAUUCUACUGUAAAAUUCUGUUGUAUCUACAAGGGCUGCUCAUAGUACCAAACAAAACAAAAUAAACAAAAACAAACAAUCAAAAAAUCAAACAAAAGAAAGUAUUCACCAUAGACAAUACUAAAUUGCAGUUAUGUUAGAUCACUUAUAAUUCAGUUUCUGGGUAUUUUUACUCAAUUCACUUUUCAGCAUGGCUCUUUCUUACCUCCUCUCUGUGAGAGCAUUGCGACUAAAAUAGAGGAUAAUCUGAUGAAGUGGGUCAGGUUGUUCUUUCUCUGUAUCUUCCUCUUCUUCUUCCUCUUUUUUUGGAGAUGUCUGUGUUCAACAGAUUGAUAUCAGAAUAUACAAAUUAAGCUUCAUGAUUAAGAAAAAAUAUGAGCCAAUAAACUUAGGAAAGGAUUUCAGUAAUUUUGUUUUGUCUAAUUUGUAUUAACUUCCAGUGGUUACCUUAUUCAGCAGCUUACCAGAGCUUGCAACACCAUUUGCCUGUUUAACUAGGAAGGAAUUACCAAGUCGGACACAUUUGCUUGCAUUUGAUAAUACCAUUAGAAGUUUCUCAUUUGCAAGGCAUUGAGAAUAAGCUAAGAGAAAAUCUUAGGGAAGCCUUAUUCAGCAGAAAUUGUGUGCAUGUUUCCACUGGACCAGAACUGAAAGGAAGUCCAGCUUAAGCAGAAUCAAUUGAUAAAUUGAACUACUUUUAACAACAUCAUCAGAAGCAUCUUAUUCAGGCUGGUGUUUACUUUCAUGUGUCUGUUCCAGGUGACUUUGAUACAAGAAUAGAAGAACUACUCUUACUGUCAACUUUAAACAUUUUUGUCAGUUUGAAAUAAAAGAUAGUUACACUGACAAAAGAGCAGUGUAUCACCUUCACCUUACUUGUGUUGUGACCCUUUAGUAGGGUUUAAUUACUGUAAAAUUACUGUAAUUAUGUUAAUAAAUGUUUAAUUUACUAGUAAAACUGAAAGAACUGUAAUUGCAGCUUUGACUAAUGGUCUCAUUCUGUCCUUCAGCAGAAAGCAGCAAGAAAAUGCAGGAAAAACUAGGACCAUUCAAUUGUUCAGAGUAUAGGAAGAAUAUAAUAGCUGUAGUAUGCAACAUUCUAUACCAAUUGGUCUUAAAACCCACAAUAUUAACUGUUUUGCUAACAUUGAAGCAUCUCCUGAUGCAUCUUCAUGUGAUCCAUGGAGCCAUAUGUUCAUAGGUAUGGUGUUUAGGUAACACCAGGGCCCUUUGAUAGUAGUUUAGGCAAACUGAUUACAGAAGGGGAAAAGAAAGAAAAAAAAUUUUUUUUUUCAGAAUCAAUGUUAAAGAACAAAAUGCUCAAGUUUACCAAGCGCUUCCAUCAAGUACACACGUAAACCAAAAUUUUGCUGAAUAUGGCUGCAUGUAUUUUCAUCUCUUUAUGAUGUACCAACAAGAAAACAACAAAAACAAAAUUGUAUCAAAGCUGAAAAUGUUAAAUAUUAUGCGUCAAUGAAAAUUGAAAAGGGGAAAAGCAUCAACUGUGUCAAGCUUUAAAAAAAAAAGUAAAUAAAAUAUAGGAACAUAGGAAUUACUAUAAUCACAAAUAUAGUUUGAUGGUUGAUCUAAACCAUUUCUGUUCCCAAGAAUAAGUAUCACAUAAUUCAACUGAAGGCAUAGAACACCUUGAUGCAUCUCAGUGUGCACCACAGGAUGGAUGUCUUUUUGACCAUAGCAGAAAAUGACUUUAUGCUCUGAAGCAUAAGAAUUCAUAUUUUAUAAAUUUAUGCAUAUGUAUACAGUAUAUUAAAAUAGGUCAUCAUAUAUUAAAAUAUAGGUCAUAAUAGAUACAUAAAAUGUACACUAAAAUGGGCACUGAAAAAUAUGCCCAAUUAUGUUAGUACUUACAGCCAAAUCCUGAACUAGUUUCUCCUCAAAUGAAUAUUCCUCUGUUUCUAUCCAAUAGUUCUGAUAGCCAUGGAGGAAGAGGUUAAUAGAACGGUGCCUGGGGGGUUGUGAAAGUGAGAUCAAGAGGGGUAAAGGAACAUAGUAUAACAGCUCAGAUGGUUAAUGAUUAGUAAGGAUAAGUGUUUGUACAAUUCUGAUCCUCUGAUUGGUCAGUGAAACCAAACACAAAACAUAACUAACUUUCAAUGACAAAUCUGCAUAUAUUUUUGAACUUUUUUUUUUUAAAUACACACACACGCACACACACAGCUUUUUCUUCAGAAGGCUUCAAGAGUGCUAAUAGACGUUAUGAGAGAAGUUGUGUGACUGGUGACUUAAUUCAAGCAUGGAAAAAAUACAUAUAUUAAAAAAUACAUAAUAAGAGGGUAACAGAUAUACCUACUAAAUGUAAAUUUAGUUUACUAGAGUUAGCAUACUGAGAUGGUAGAUGCUGGCCAUGAAGAACAAAAUAAUUAUGAACUGCUUUCCAGCAUGCUAUAUGUGAACAACCAUGGCCUAACAACCUUCUUUUUUUUUUCAUUUAUAAAUGAGUUAGAAAUGCAUAAAAGCUCUAGAGAAGAACAAUUUUGGAAAACUCUUAGGUGUAUCGAUUGAUAUUACACAGUAUUAACUAAUUCAACUGGAAAUUUUUCUACCCAAAAUGCAACUCAUUGUAAUACGACUACACAUAAUAUUGGCCAAAUUAUUCCAUCUUUGUAUAGUAUUUAAGGGAAAAAAAUAUUUUGAGGUGCUCUAUGUGACAUUCUGAAGGUUGUUCCACACAGCCUUUUCAUUUUAUCUUGCACGAGUAACUACAUAAACUGACUGUAUUAUAUUAUGGAUUACCUCGAGACAUUAUGCACGUGAAUUCUUAUUCUAUAAUGACACUGGUAUGUAGUCAACUCUGUGCUCUCCUGCUGCCACGGGUGCCUUUUAUCAGUUUUCAAAAACUGACCAAUCAGAAUCUACUCUGAAAAUUGUACAAAUUCAUGUUUUAUGACAACAAUAAAUUAUGGCUGGGAAGGAAUAAGUGUGUGCAUAAGGAAGAGGCUCUCCACAAGUUACAUUACCGUUAACUUGAGUAUAAGCCUGUCAUACUGAGUUUUUUCAUGUACUUUUUCCAGCCAAACACGUUGAAAGGUGCUCAGGAAGAAAUUGCUAAUUUUGUGUCUGAAGAAAAGCAUAUAGGUUUUCAAUGAAGAACUAACAACAAAAGUACAAGUUAAAUUCAAUAAAAUAGUCAGAAAGAAUGUAUUUGUUAACUCUGUAUGAAAUGUUGCCACUAACUUUGCUUAUGUGCAUCUAACAGAUGACAGACAAUAUGACAAAUCAUACAAACUUUCUUAUGAUAGUGAACAUAAAUACAAGUAUCUUAGAGAAUGCAUUUAUCAUGAGGUACUUUUUCCAAAGUCAUUCAUUAAACAGAGAACAGAAGAAUCAGCAUUUCCAGACUUCACUGAUGUUUUUUCCUUGAAAAAUAAAAUUGUUUUAAAAUACAACUAGUAUUUCUUUUGUAUCUUGAGGUAAUUCUCAGAAAAUGGAGUAUUUGGAGUAAUUAUGAAAGAAUUUAGAAUAAUUUUUCUGUGAUACAAACACCUGCACUUGAAUGGAUGUUUCAAUUGCUGAAACUUCCUAUUGGAAUUCCUAAAAAACGAUACAUAUAAGAACAUAUAUUGAAUAAAAUUAGUUUUAAAUACACUAACAUUAAAUUUUUUGAAAACCACCUAAAUCUCUAGAAAAUUAUCAAAAGAAAUCAUUAUUCAUUGAAGACAUGAACAUUUUCUAGGCAAAAUUCAUAACGAGUUUGCUUACUGCCCUUUAAAUAUAUAAUCACAUUUAGAACUAACACCCCCAAUUAUAGAGAUAAAACUAGACUGAGGAAAUAUACAAGAGAACUUCAUUUGACAUUAUGGUGCAAAGGGAUAUACAUAGCUCUUAGAAUUCAUCACACUUCACUUGAAAAUAAGUCCCUAGGGUUCAAAGAUGUCUUAGCAACUUUAUCAAUUUAAAUGACAGAGGUAGUUAUAUCUGCAAUUAGGUAUAAAAUAGUGUGAUAGCCUUAUUUUCCUGUCAGAAUCCUAUGAUUUAUCUAGAAAAACAUGUCUAUAAAACUAAUGAAGUUUAAAACUUUCUUCUACCUCUAUCGAGGAUUUCUCUUGCUCUUGCCUUUUUUGAAAUACAUAUACCAAAAUAAAUUGGUAAAAAUAGUUUUAUCCGAGUUUAUUUUUAGAAUCUGAAGGAAGAAAUAACUGGACAGAUUUGCUUCACAUUCAUACUAAAAUGAAGUGUAAGCUCUACCACGAGAUAGAUGUACCACAAAGCUUGAGAAGAACCAACCCCACUUUUUAGGUUCAUAACCCAUUUGAGUUCUUGGCACAUUUUCCAUCAACUUUAAGAAUCCUAAAUAUAUAUCUUUAAGACAAAAAUAAGAUGGACUGUUUUUAUCACUUGGGUGCUCAUAUAUAUUCAACACACUUUAAGAAUUAUAAAGACAGAAUAUUGAUAUAAAAAAUGCUCACAAAGAUGUUAUACUGAAAUAUUUACCAUUUCCUCUUGUUUUUCCAAAGACAACUUGUAAAAGUAAUAUAGUCAGUACUUCAAACCUAAUUGGUUUGGUUUCAUGUUGUCUUUAAACCUUUUCAUUUUUCUCUGUCUCUAUAAGGACUGCCUGGUAGCAAUGGGAAAGUUUAGAGAAGCUGCUAUAAUCUAGAACUGCUAGUUUUCAUAAUUGCUUCACUUUCACAGUAGAAUUUUUUGUCUUGCACAAACCUAGCAUUGUUCCUAGUACAUUAGUGGCAAAGCUACAGAUCUUUAGCUAACAUUAAGCAUGUAAAUAAAUCACUGCACAAAAAUAUUUAACUCAAAAGGUGAAAGAGCACAAAAGAAGUUAAGAAGCAAAUCUAAUUAGUGAUGUUCUUAGGCUGUAUCUGAAUAUAAAGCAGAUGUAUUGGAAAGGAACAGGGUAAAGGAAAGGACACCAAGCUGCACAGUAUUAAUACUUGGUUUAAAGCAGUAGAAGGGCAUAGGCAUGGGAUGCACUUUCUCUCAGACUUAGUGGUAUCUACAUUCAACUGAAGUAAUAAGCCGAGCAAAACACAUGUCCAAAAUCUCACUCUGCACUGUUCUGCCCCAGUACCUGCUUUAAUGCAACAUUCUGACAUAAUAUCUACAGAUUGCCUCAUAGAAGCAUAGAGCAUUCAUGCAAUAGAAAAGCCAUACCAAAAAAAAAAAAAAAAAAAAGUUUUUUUUUUUUU
Molecule: long non-coding RNA, 11419 nt
Organism: Gallus gallus (chicken)
Lineage: Eukaryota; Metazoa; Chordata; Aves; Galliformes; Phasianidae
Exons: 5
Source: RefSeq, a predicted model, not a curated record